UCCCCAACCCUUAGCUGAGAUUUUUAUUCAUAACUUGUAGAGUUGAGAUUACUGGAUUGCAGAUUAAACAAUGUUUUUUUGUUUGUUUGUUUGUUUAAUAGCUAUAGUAUCAUCAUUUCUACUGGUUUUUUGAAGUUCUGUUCUCAGAUGUAACUGCCGAGGUGCAGAGAAAGUCGAGCAAUGCCUGAAACACAUUGGGUACACCAAGACCUUAAUAUGAGCCACAGGCCUGAACCCAACAAGUGAAAAUUCCAGGGCAUCUAGUUUGGAAGAAUCACACUCGUGCAUGCCUUCACACUUGGUAUUCUGUGGACUUAUCAUUGUGUACUAAACACUUCUUAUUGCCUUGGUUUCCAGCUCUCCUCCUGAGUAGAAAUUCAGUAAAGAUCUCACCCAAUAACAUUGAUUUGCAGCGAUAUUUAUUCACAAUAGUCUUGCGAAGACAACGUUCAGAAAGAAUGGGAAGGCAACAGUGCACUAUUCUGGAGGAGAGAACACCUCAGCAGUAUCAAUCAGAGGCAUGGAUGGCUGGUGUCACUUUCAGACUUCAAGAUUGAACGUGUACCAUGUCUACAGUCAAUAUUACAUGGAGGGCAAAAAGGAUUUUGGAUCGCCUAGAACCAGAGUCACGGGUUUAUUCUUCAUAAAUUGAACAAGGUAAACUCUCUGAUUUUAAAUCCAUAUUCUUAAACUGUAUUUUUAAUUACUCCACCAUCUUUUACUUAUGGUUGUGGUUUAUGCAAAAGGUAAACAACUAUUGAGCUAAAUCUGUUGAAAAUUGUUAUUGUAAUCUAUGGUUGAUGAUGGAUUAGCCUUAUUCUUUUUUCUUUGAAUCACAAUAUUUCAAAAGACAUCUACUCUUCAUGACGUGUUUUCUGAUGGGAAGACGUCAAUGUUGAAAUAAAUACUGGUGUGCUCAUUCAUCGCCUGUCGAUGUACAAUUCAAUAUCAUCUAACAACAAAAUCAGCAUUCCAGUAUUCAGGAAUAUGAAACAUGGGGUAUUUUAAUGAAUAAAUUCUGUGUACAGGGAGAAAAUAUAUAUACGAUGUAUUUGAUAGAUUAGGCAUUGUGAAUUAAUGAAACUGGUCUGAUGAAUUAAUCUAGUAGCAGUUAACUAAUUAUACAGGCAUUUGAGCAAAGUGAGCUAUUUUGAUUGGGUCUUAAAUUAAAAUGCCUAUAUUAAGGGCAUCAGAAGAAAUGUAUUCUUUAAA
Molecule: small RNA, 1212 nt
Filed under: Rattus norvegicus (Norway rat)
Lineage: Eukaryota; Metazoa; Chordata; Mammalia; Rodentia; Muridae
Description: uncharacterized LOC102548042
Source: RNAcentral